CACUGAGGCCGUUCUGAAUAGAAGUGGGGCUGCUGCGGGAUUCAUAGGCAGCCCACCGGGGCCUUCCGUCAAGAUGAAGCCACCCUGCAUCGGGACGAGCUGUGGGGGUGGACGCGCGUCCCGUGGGCCUGGGCGCCGGGUCCAUUCCCAGGCCUUCAGGCCCUGAGCCGGCACAGACAAAGCUCCGGAACUCAAGGGAAACAGACUUCAGCCUCCUUACGUCUCGCAGCAGCUCCAGGGCGCAGCCCGCAGCGCACACCCCGGGCGGCAGCUCCAAGCAUACUUCUUUCAGUCCUGGGCUUGACCUGCCCUCUCUCCGCCCCCCACAGCUGCUUUUACUGUACUGCCUUUCACUGUAUUUUACACGGAGAGAGCCUCAACAGCUGACCUCGGCAGCGUGGUUUUUUCUGUCGUGUGAUUUUGUGUUGCGGCAGCGGUGCUGACCUGCGGCUUACCUCACACUUUGGCGAAGUUCGCAGCAGGCAGCUGUAUAAGAGAACGCCGCGUUUGUCAGCUCACCCUGCUCAUGGCGACAGUGACGUCCUCAGGGCAGCCAGUCGGGGGUUCCCAGCAGCCCCCUACCCAUCUGAGGCUGGAGGGCUGAGCUCAGGCCCCACCCCCACAGAAGAUGCUGUGGCUUCAGCUUCCAAGGUGACAGGAGAAGCGGGCUCCUCAUCACCCGCUGCUGCUUCUCUCAGAAUAGAACGCAGAGGGAGGGAACAUCUCAUGGGCAAAAGCCACAGUGUUAAAGCCCGAGUCCUCACCGUGGCUGCUCCCCCACAGUCUCGUGGGCACCUCUCUCCACGUCAGCCACCGCUUACUGGAGUCCAGGCGCCAAGACGCUUCGAUUUACGUCUUAGAAGAAGAGUAAGGUGCGGUGGAAGGCGUGAAUGUUUAUGGCAGUCACCGUAACUUCGUCCAGGAAAGUGAAGUGAAAGUGAAAGUCACUCAUUCGUGUCCGACUCUUUGCAACCCCAUGAACUGUAUUCCAUGGAAUUCUCCAGGCCAGAAUACUGGAGUGGAUAGCGUUUUCCUUCUCCAAGGGAUUUUCCCAACCCAGAGAUUGAACCCAGGCCUCCUGCAUUGCAGGCAGAUUCUUUACCAGCUGAGCCACGGGGCUUUCUAAAGCUUCCCUGUGGGCUAAAGAGACCUGAUGAACCUCCAGUGAUGGUGGUCUCAUUUCUACUUGGUCUAAAUGUAACAUUGUCAUUUGUCCAUAGGAGCCUGGGGGGCUGUCCUCAAAUAGAAGAGACACAAAAGAGACUCUGCCGGGCAGAGUUGGCUACUCAGGCAUUUUGUUGAGUACAUGAAUGCUGUGAGUUGCUC
This is a long non-coding RNA of Bubalus bubalis (water buffalo), 1326 nucleotides long. RefSeq lists it as uncharacterized. The transcript is spliced from 2 exons. The record is from RefSeq and is a predicted model, not a curated record. Lineage: Eukaryota; Metazoa; Chordata; Mammalia; Artiodactyla; Bovidae.